AACUUUUAUUAAAAAUAAAAAUAUCAAUAAGGAUAAGAAUAAGCAAGGGGAUUUUAGGUGUAAUGUCUCAUUUCUCGUGAAAAUACUUUUAUUUGUGAAAUAAACAAUUUUCCCUUCCUCUUGGUGUUUUCAUACUUAAUUUGUGUUGCGGGAACAGUUAGUAUGGGUCCUAAAGCGAUCGGGUGAUAUUUUAGUGUUUUUGAGCCUUUUAAUUGAAUUAUAUUGAUAUAGUUGAUCUUGAUCGAUAUUUUGAAAUUUAAGCGCAGGAUGAUAAUUUCGUUGGUUUCAUUGCAUAUGAAACAUUUUAUUAAAGUUAGUAGGGUGGUGGACAAAGUUUCAAGGCCUUGGGUUGAGCUUUGGGUGUUAUAAACGAGAUGUUGAGCUUUUAGCCUAAAGAGAGGCUGGGGAGGAUAUUUCUAUCAAUUGAUCUUUUUUCGAAAAUUUAACUAUUUCAUUAAGUCUGAAUUGUUGAAUUUAGUGAGAUUACAUGUCCAACUAUUUUUUAUCGGAAUCCAAACAAUUUCGAGGGUCCAAUGAGAAUCCUUUUUCUUGAAUUGACCGGUUGGUUCUCUAGUUUCUGGUGCAGGUAUUUUAGACCAUCGCGAUCGCGGUCAAGGGGCUCGCAUUUGUGAUGUGUAGCCUCAGUGUCCUUCGCGAUUGCGAGAGUUAGUGGCUCGUGAUGAACAGACAUAAUCUAAUUUUAGGAUCCUUCCCCCUUUUUCUUAUUCCAUUAUUUUUCACUCAAACGGAACUUAGGGGAAGCAAAUCUUGGGAGCUUUUGUUGAGUAAACUAGAGUGGAUAAGCUUCACUUAUUAAUUUCUUAUUGUUUCCUCCAAAUUUUAUCGUACUAAAACUCCUUUAAAUCAUGAUUUUAAUAUGUUUUUUGAGGUUUUUCGCCUAAAGUUGGAAGAUUUAUAGCUUUUUGAAUUGGAACUUGUUUCUAAUUACUUGUUUUUAAUGGGCUUUUCAAUCACAAAAUCCUCUUCAGCUAUAUAUAGAACAUGUUUUGCAAAUAAAAAUAUGAUUUUACCCUUUCAACUUUUGAAAAGAUUUUUGGAUUGUUUACCUUUGGUUCCUAACCUUUAUCAUUUGACCUCUUUUUAUGGUUUUUUUUUUUCAUAUUGAUAGUUGGGGAUCGUUUAGAAGAUUUUUUGGUAGAAAAAAAAGGUUUCGGGAGAGUUGUUCGGGUGAAGCUCGAUCUUCGAGGUAGCGAGUUGAUGUGAUAUUGAGAUUGGAGAUUGGUAUAUGAACUGUGAGUCUGCGAUGGUGCUUCGUCUGGAAUCUAAAGUUCGACAAGGUGUAUACAAUAGGUUAUGCGGCAACCUUGAUUUCACUACUCAAUUUCAUCAUUUCAUUGCAUUGAAUUGGUUUGCUUUGUUGUGUUGUAUAACUUGUCUUCCUGUUGA
Molecule: long non-coding RNA, 1407 nt
Organism: Solanum pennellii
Lineage: Eukaryota; Viridiplantae; Streptophyta; Magnoliopsida; Solanales; Solanaceae
Exons: 2
Source: RefSeq, a predicted model, not a curated record